GACGAACGCUGGCGGCGUGCUUAACACAUGCAAGUCGAACGGAAAGGCCCCUUUGGGGGUACUCGAGUGGCGAACGGGUGAGUAACACGUGAGUAACCUGCCCUUGACUUCUGGAUAACUUCAUGAAACUGGGGCUAAUCCCGGAUAGGAAUCCUUGCUGCAUGGUGGGGGUUGGAAAGCUUCUGCGGUUUUGGAUGUACUCGCGGCUUAUCCUCUUGUUGUUGGGGUAGUGGCUUACCAAGGCUUUUACGGGUAGCCGGCCUGAGAGGGCGACCGGCCACAGUGGGACUGAGAUACGGCCCAGACUCCUACGGGAGGCAGCAGUGGGGAAUAGUGCAAAAUGGGCGGAAGCCUGAUGCAGCAACGCCGCGUGCGGGAUGACGGCCUUCGGGUUGUAAACCGCUUUCAGCAGGGGCGAAGCUUGUGGUGACGGUACCUGCAGAAGAAGCACCGGCUAACUACGUG
Molecule: ribosomal RNA, 465 nt
Filed under: uncultured bacterium
Lineage: Bacteria
Description: partial 16S ribosomal RNA
Rfam family: Bacterial small subunit ribosomal RNA
Source: RNAcentral